RNAcentral lists this long non-coding RNA (215 nucleotides) under Elaeis guineensis (African oil palm). RNAcentral's name for it is "long non-coding RNA (EGUI_LNC007377)". The record is from RNAcentral. Lineage: Eukaryota; Viridiplantae; Streptophyta; Magnoliopsida; Arecales; Arecaceae.
CUGAGGGAUCAGCCUCAUGAUCAGACAUGAACUGAAUAUCAGGAGACGCUCUAUAAUUAAGAGGAGGUGAAGACGGUCCCUUCUCCUCUGCUCUUUCCUCAACACCCUUCGACCAACGAUCAUCAGUUUUUGAAAAAUCCAUGCGAUGCAGUGUGUGGCAGUUGAUGGUGUCAGAAUGUGAUAAUUUGGUGACUGUCUCUCCCUUAAAACAGAUU